CAGUAGCCGCGGGAAUGCGAAGGGGGCUAGCGUUGUUCGGAUUUACUGGGCGUAAAGGGUGCGUAGGCGGAUUGUUAAGUCAGGGGUGAAAUCCCGAGGCUCAACCUCGGAACUGCCUUUGAUACUGGCGAUCUUGAGUCCGGGAGAGGUGAGUGGAACUGCGAGUGUAGAGGUGAAAUUCGUAGAUAUUCGCAAGAACACCGGUGGCGAAGGCGGCUCACCGGCCCGGUACUGACGCUGAGGCACGAAAGCGUGGGGAGCAAACAGGAUUAGAUACCCCGGUAGUCCCUGUCUCUUAUAC
This 301-nucleotide ribosomal RNA is filed under the name uncultured bacterium. Its description in RNAcentral is "partial 16S ribosomal RNA". It matches the Rfam family "Bacterial small subunit ribosomal RNA", at positions 509 to 807 of the family's 1533-position model. The record is from RNAcentral.